AUUGAACGCUGGCGGCAGGCCUAACACAUGCAAGUCGAACGAGUGGCGGACGGGUGAGUAAUGUCUGGGAAUCUGCCUGAUGGAGGGGGAUAACUACUGGAAACGGUAGCUAAUACCGCAUACUAUCAGAUGUGCCCAUAUGGGAUUAGCUAGUUGGUGGGGUAAAGGCUCACCAAGGCGACGAUCCCUAGCUGGUCUGAGAGGAUGACCAGCCACACUGGAACUGAGACACGGCCCAGACUCCUACGGGAGGCAGCAGUGGGGAAUAUUGCACAAUGGGCGCAAGCCUGAUGCAGCCAUGCCGCGUGUAUGAAGAAGGCCUUAGGGUUGUAAAGUACUUUCAGCGGGGAGGCGUUACCCGCAGAAGAAGCACCGGCUAACUCCGUGCCAGCAGCCGCGGUAAUAC
RNAcentral lists this ribosomal RNA (406 nucleotides) under uncultured bacterium. Its description in RNAcentral is "partial 16S ribosomal RNA". It matches the Rfam family "Bacterial small subunit ribosomal RNA", at positions 30 to 526 of the family's 1533-position model. The record is from RNAcentral.